GAACCUAAAGGAUGAAGUAAUAAAAAAUGUAAAUGAACACAAGCAAAGUAUUGUAGAGGAUAUAUAUGCUCAAAUAAAAAAAGAAGAAAAACCAUUUUUAGAAGAUUUAAAAAAAUAUAUAAUUGAUAUAAAGAGUAAUGAUAACGAUAAAAAUAAAGAUGCUAUGUUACAGUCAUAUAAUAAUACAGAAAAAUUAAUACAAUCUGAAUUUGUUUACCAAUCCGAAUUUCAAAAUAAUAUUGCUGAUGUUACAGCUUUAGCAAUCAAAGAAAAUGAGACAUACCAAAAAAAAAAUACAAAAAUAUUUUUUUUUAUUAAAAUGUAAAGAUGAAAAAAUUAAGACGGCAUGUGAAAUAAACUCAAAAAAUGUUAUAUCGUUUAUUACGUUCAUAAGAAAUCAAAUGGAUGGAUACAAACUAUACUUACAAGACGUUUUAAAUAAAAUUAGAAAUGAUCUGAAUUUAAGGAGAAAGUGCUUAUUAAGCAACAACAGACAGAUUGUUGAUGAUUUCAUGAGGAUGCGAAAUAUGAAUGCAAGCUAUUUCCUUGACGAAAUACAGUACCAAAAAAGAUUAGAUGAAAAAAUAAAAGAUACAUAUGAGCAAAUUCAUUUGAACUUGAAGAAGAAAAAUGAAAUGCUUGAAGCUAACUUAAAUAUGAACAUGCAACAUUUACAAGAAAUAAAUCAGAUAAUAAUGAAAAAAGAAAAAAAAACAUAUGAUAUAAAAUUACUACAACAAAAAAAUGAUAAUAACUUAAAAAUGAUAAAUUUUUAUAAACUCGAAAUAAAUAAAUUAAGAGAAGCUCUAUUAUCAGUGAAAACUUAUUAUUACAACUAUAGAAUUAAAUCAAAAAAAAACAUUAACGAAUUAAUGAUUCAAUAUGAGAGAAUAAAAUUUCAAUUUAUUGAAUUACAAAAGAGACAAAAAAGUUAUGAACAAAAUUUUCAAAAAAAAUACACAAAUGCUUGGAACUUGCAAAAAAACGAGGCCAACAAGCACAUUGAAAAAUUAAUAAAUGCAAAUAAAAUAAUUCACGAACAAAUCCUUUUAAAAGAAUUUCAUCAAACUAAUUAUAAACAAUUGAUAGAAGAUAACAGCAGUUUAAUUUCAACAACCGUUAAAGAUCAUGAAAUCCCUCAAACAGAGUUAAAUACAAAACGUGUUAAUAUACAACAUAUUGAAAAUGUUAAGAAGCUACUUCUGCAAGAAUGCAAUUUCCUAGUCGAAGACGAUAUCGAUGACGAACAACAAAAAAUAAAAAAACUAUUAAAAUACAUAGGUGUGUAUACACAAGAAGAUUUAGAACUACUAACACAAUUGUUUUAUUUAGAUUAUGAGCACGAAAAUGACAGUAACAAUAAUAACAACAAAGAGAGUGACCAUAAUGCGAUAAAAUAUAAUUCAGAAUAUACAUUAGAUAUAAUUUAUAAGUAUUAUCAAGAAAAAGAAAAAGAAAAUGCUUGUAAAAUAACAAAGAAUAAACAACAAUAUAAAAAUAGGUUAAAUAUUUCUUUAAAGUUAAUAAUUGAGAGAAGAAAAAAAGAAAAAGAGUUCUGGGAAAACUUAACGCAUAUUACAUCUAAUGAUAUGAUAGAAAUGUGGAAGACAUUCUCAGUUUUUGUGGAAAAGUAUUACUAUAUAUUAAAAGAUCGAGCAACUAUUGUCCAAAAUAUUUUUAAUGAAGAAAAAUUAAUCAUUGAAAAUAAAAACAAAAUUGAAAACAUGCGUGAAGCUUUAUCCAAGCUAUAAACAAGUAAAGAUUCAUAUAUUUUGUUUUUAAAGAUUUAAACCUUGUUUAGUGUAAUAAAAUAAAAAUGCAGAAGUCUGUAUUGAGAAAG
Molecule: long non-coding RNA, 1840 nt
Organism: Piliocolobus tephrosceles (Ugandan red Colobus)
Lineage: Eukaryota; Metazoa; Chordata; Mammalia; Primates; Cercopithecidae
Source: Ensembl